Molecule: long non-coding RNA, 538 nt
Filed under: Rattus norvegicus (Norway rat)
Lineage: Eukaryota; Metazoa; Chordata; Mammalia; Rodentia; Muridae
Description: long non-coding RNA NONRATT025511
Source: RNAcentral
GCCAACUCUCGAAGCUGAAUAUAUGCAAUAUCCGUCCGUCUGUCAGGGUGGAGCUCAGCUGUGGGGAGUCCCGGGGAGGGGGGGGGGGGACACAGCUGGCCCGUCCCAAGUCUGUGAUAUCAGUUUUUCUUUUUUGGUUUUACUGUUUAUAGUUGCCUUUGGGUUUUUGUCCUUCUGUUUUUCUGUCUUCUGUUAAAUCUGCUCUUAAAGUUCACCAAAGCUAAGACAGUUUUGCCAGGGGUUUUAGCGGGACAGACAGAAGUCCAGGCUCCAAGCCAUCCCCUUGCCUCUUCCUGCCCCCACCCCCAUCCCCACCUCCGCCAGUCGCCCCACUCAGCCCUGAGUGUUGGUCGCUGGCAGAGAGGUCAUGGCAGGCUCAGCCCUGAUUGGGGAACCCGGGUGGGUGGGACCACCGCCCUGCCCACCUCACGUGCACUGUGUGUCACUUGUAGGCCUGGCUGACUUACAGCUUUCAGACCUUUAACGCGGGUAGUGGUGAGGACAGUGGACAGAGCAUGCCUGGCGGCGGGUUGGGAGG